This 50-nucleotide ribosomal RNA is filed under the name Terriera minor. RNAcentral describes it as "partial 28S ribosomal RNA". The record is from RNAcentral. Lineage: Eukaryota; Fungi; Ascomycota; Leotiomycetes; Rhytismatales; Rhytismataceae.
CUCAGAUCAGGUAGGGAUACCCGCUGAACUUAAGCAUAUCAUAGCGGAGG